AGGUAGAGAAUACCAAGGCGCUUGAGAGAACUCGGGUGAAGGAACUAGGCAAAAUGGUGCCGUAACUUCGGGAGAAGGCACGCUGAUAUGUAGGUGAAGCCCCUGCGGGCGGAGCUGAAAUCAGUCGAAGAUACCAGCUGGCUGCAACUGUUUAUUAAAAACACAGCACUGUGCAAACACGAAAGUGGACGUAUACGGUGUGACGCCU
Molecule: ribosomal RNA, 208 nt
Filed under: Enterobacter hormaechei
Lineage: Bacteria; Pseudomonadati; Pseudomonadota; Gammaproteobacteria; Enterobacterales; Enterobacteriaceae
Description: partial 23S ribosomal RNA
Rfam family: Bacterial large subunit ribosomal RNA
Source: RNAcentral